AAACCAGCAAUAAAGGCUAGCGAUUGACUCUUGUUCUUCUAUUUUUGUUCAUAUAUUUAUUUUUUAUUUGAUUUUUUUUUAUUAUUAAAAAAAAAAAAAAAAAAUCGAUUCAGUUCAGUAUGCGUACGUAUACGUAAAAAAAAAAAAAAAAACAACUUAAAU
This 162-nucleotide non-coding RNA is filed under the name Aplanochytrium stocchinoi. The record is from RNAcentral. Lineage: Eukaryota; Bigyra; Thraustochytrida; Thraustochytriidae.